CGCGUAGGCGGCCACUGCAAGUCGGUUGUGAAAUCUCCGGGCUUAACCCGGAAAGGUCAAUCGAUACUGCAGGGCUAGAGUGCAGAAGGGGCAACUGGAAUUCUCGGUGUAGCGGUGAAAUGCGUAGAUAUCGAGAGGAACACCUGCGGCGAAGGCGGGUUGCUGGGCUGACACUGACGCUGAAGCGCGAAAGCUAGGGGAGCGAACGG
RNAcentral lists this ribosomal RNA (209 nucleotides) under uncultured bacterium. RNAcentral's name for it is "partial 16S ribosomal RNA". It matches the Rfam family "Bacterial small subunit ribosomal RNA", at positions 568 to 775 of the family's 1533-position model. The record is from RNAcentral.